RNAcentral lists this ribosomal RNA (455 nucleotides) under Pseudomonas sp. enrichment culture clone M2H2 14. RNAcentral describes it as "bacterial SSU rRNA". It matches the Rfam family "Bacterial small subunit ribosomal RNA", at positions 33 to 480 of the family's 1533-position model. Lineage: Bacteria; Pseudomonadati; Pseudomonadota; Gammaproteobacteria; Pseudomonadales; Pseudomonadaceae. The record is from RNAcentral.
CUUGACGCUGGCGGCAGGCCUACACAUGCCAGUCGAGCGGAUGAAGGGAGCUUGCUCCUGGAUUCAGCGGCGGACGGGUGAGUAAUGCCUAGGAAUCUGCCUGGUAGUGGGGGAUAACGUCCGGAAACGGGCGCUAAUACCGCAUACGUCCUGAGGGAGAAAGUGGGGGAUCUUCGGACCUCACGCUAUCAGAUGAGCCUAGGUCGGAUUAGCUAGUUGGUGGGGUAAAGGCCUACCAAGGCGACGAUCCGUAACUGGUCUGAGAGGAUGAUCAGUCACACUGGAACUGAGACACGGUCCAGACUCCUACGGGAGGCAGCAGUGGGGAAUAUUGGACAAUGGGCGAAAGCCUGAUCCAGCCAUGCCGCGUGUGUGAAGAAGGUCUUCGGAUUGUAAAGCACUUUAAGUUGGGAGGAAGGGCAGUAAGUUAAUACCUUGCUGUUUUGACGUUACCA